This 73-nucleotide transfer RNA is filed under the name Flavobacteriia bacterium. RNAcentral's name for it is "tRNA-Asn". It matches the Rfam family "tRNA". From Rfam's summary of the family: Transfer RNA (tRNA) molecules are approximately 80 nucleotides in length. Their secondary structure includes four short double-helical elements and three loops (D, anti-codon, and T loops). Lineage: Bacteria; Pseudomonadati; Bacteroidota; Flavobacteriia. The record is from RNAcentral.
GGUUCUUUAGCUCAGUCGGUAGAGCGCAUGGCUGUUAACCGUGAAGUCGUCGGUUCAAACCCGACAAGAACCG